This 253-nucleotide ribosomal RNA is filed under the name uncultured bacterium. RNAcentral's name for it is "partial 16S ribosomal RNA". It matches the Rfam family "Bacterial small subunit ribosomal RNA", at positions 524 to 776 of the family's 1533-position model. The record is from RNAcentral.
UACGGAGGGUGCAAGCGUUAUCCGGAUUCACUGGGUUUAAAGGGUGCGUAGGUGGGCAGUUAAGUCAGUGGUGAAAUCUCCGGGCUUAACCCGGAAACUGCCAUUGAUACUAUCUGUCUUGAAUAUCGUGGAGGUAAGCGGAAUAUGUCAUGUAGCGGUGAAAUGCUUAGAUAUGACAUAGAACACCAAUUGCGAAGGCAGCUUACUACCCGAAUAUUGACACUGAGGCACGAAAGCGUGGGGAUCAAACAGG